Molecule: long non-coding RNA, 3620 nt
Organism: Mercenaria mercenaria
Lineage: Eukaryota; Metazoa; Mollusca; Bivalvia; Venerida; Veneridae
Exons: 3
Source: RefSeq, a predicted model, not a curated record
UACAUGUAAAAUAGGUAAUGAAAUCGGAAAUGUUCAAAUAUUUAUUAAACGCAAUAGCUUUGUAAAAAUGGUUAAUGUUUCGAAGUGAAAUUACUAUUUUAUUUGGAUAUAAGUUACGGACAAAAGAGGAUAUAUAUAAAUAUUUGAUUAAACUUUGAACAUUUUAUAAAAAACGAAGACCAAUAUCAAACAGAGAAUGCCACGCACCAAAAACGCAGCCUCCUCCAAACGAAACACCCAGCACGCCGACGCGUGCACCACACUCUCUCUCUCUCUCACACACACACACACACACACACCUACACACACACAAAGCCAACACAUAAGGACAAAACGAACAAACAAAGGAACACAGUGGGGCACCGCCUUGGAACGGUCAGUGGCCAAAACACCACCGGGGAGCUUAAACCGGUUUAUGGUGCGCACCCAACCUCACUCUUAUCCCCACCAUGUUCCAAAGACACGGGACAUUGUAAAUAAAAGUAAUCUCCUCCGGGUGAACCUCUUACACACGUAAUGGAAACAAAAAGGCAUGGCAUGUAAAACACAAAAAUGUUCGUGUAUAAAUAUAUAAAAAGCAAACCUUAAGAACCAAAAACGUAUGUACUCAAUGCCUUUUCAGAAGACAGAGCAACAAGAGAAACACCCUUCAGGGCCCGACGAAACAGGCCAGUAUAGUUUGAUUAACUGAUGUUAAUAAUAUUUCCAUACAUGAUUUCUAUUGACUGCACACGAGUGUGAUUAUGAUCAGAUCAGAUAAUGUUCUUCGACGUCAGGUGGUAAUUCUUAUCUCGCCGCAACAUGUAUAUUAUGAUAUCGGCCUCAAGGAGUUAAUAAAAUACUAAAACGCAAGCACCCCUGAACUUACAGAUGCCUAGACAGUCCCUUAACCCCUCCGCUACAAAAGAUAAAAGCCAGCUACUCAAAUGUAUGUAAAACAUUUUGAGACCAGCUUCAUUACUGCAUGUAUUCGAUAUAUAACCCUCCCUAUAGUUAAUGCAUUUUAUCAAUUAACACUAUAUUAUUCGGACAAUAAACGAAUGAAGAGACAAACGUCAUUUAUCAAGCAUGUAUUGUAACAUUUCCGUGUUUUGCCAUUUCGUUUCAUUAUCAAAUAACUGACAAUUUAUCGCCCUUUGUAUCAACACGCCAUUUGUAAACAUGAGAGUUCAUGAGAAAGGAAACUUUUAAAUUGUAAUUUGACGAUUAAUUUAAAAAGGAUACUGAAUGGUAUUGCGCAUUUUACAGAUCAACUAUUGAUCAACUACCGAGAAGCAUCUGGCAUAUUGGCAUGAUGUUGCUAUGACCUUAAACAAAAAAAAAGGAAUUCUCAAGGCAUGUCUACAUACCACAUGUUGACAGAAAUGGCUGAAGGAUGAAAGAAUUUUCAGAAAAAUAAAAUGCUUUAGGAAUUUGUGAAUGGAAAUGAUACCAAAGGACGUAACAUAUUUGCUGAGCAUCCAAUUGAAAGUAUGCCAAUAGAAUAAACUGUCACAGAAGUGCACAAAAUAAGGCCAUGUUUUCUGCAAAAGUUCAUUAAGCUGAUUCAGACUACAAAUGGGAGUCAUGAUAAAAGUAAAACUAACUGAACUGUCACAGUUAAACUGUGAGAAGUGUUUGGUAAAAGUAUGGUGUGUUUUCAGAACUUUAAACUUGAAACUUGAGAAUUUUCUUAAACGCCUAUUUUAACACACAAAGCAUCUUCAAAGGCGUUGUACACUCAUGCAUUAAAAACAGUAAAACCAAUUCAUCAGUAUUAACACAAAGUCUUGAUUUGCUUCAAUGUAAUUGCUGUAGUAUGAAUUUUAGAACAAUGCAUAGUAGUCUUUGAAGAAGUGAGUUUUCAACUGCUUUUUGAAGAUUUUACCUGAUUCACUUUGUCUGAGAUUUAAUGACAGUUCGUUCCAAAGUUUUGGUCCAACCGUACUGAAGCUUCUUUCACUGAAUGUUUUUUUCUUGUUAUAAGGGACAACGUAGCAUCCUACUGAUGAUUCUGACGAACGUAGUGUACGUUUUGAAAUUUUACUAGACAAAAGUUCUAUUAGAUAUUGAGGAGCAUUACCAACAAAGCAGUUGUACAUAUAAGUAAGGAUCUUAAGGGGACGCAUAUUGCUACAUUCACAGUUCAUACAGCAAUGCGGAAGGGGUGCAUAUUCAAGAAAUCGAUGUUGGGAAAAUAAAAAACAUAUUCCUAAACUGAUAUAAUAUACUGAUGGACACCUGUAAUAUUCAGUAUUUUGUGGAUAAGGAUGUGGUACUAUGAAUGUAAUAGGAAAACAGAGGUGUUUGUGAAAGUACAUUCAACACAAAAUAUUAAGCUUUUGUAUAAGGAAAAAACAGGUUUUUUACAAUAACAGUGUUCCAAAUAAUGUUGAAGGGAUGAGAUUUUCUUUCUAACACACCAGGUUUGCUUAAACAUGUAAAAAUUUAACGCCACGUCAGUUCAUCUCGGGAUGGACGCCAUAUUUCUCAUUGAUAAAAAAUGUAAACAAAAAAAUCAGAGUGGGAUUAGCAUUGCAAGGCAUAACAUGACAUUCUACACAAUGAAUACCUUAGAACAGAUAUCUAAGAUGCUACACAGGUCAGGCGGGUUAAAUGCAUAAUGUCGAUUACUUGAAAUUCAUCUUGAAAAGGUGGUUAAUUUUAGUUUGUUUACAUGGGUUUUAAUUUUCCCACGACUUCUCGGCGAUUCACUGCAAAUGUAUUACUGCGCCGGACGAAAGGUAACUCUAAUAAACAACGGGAGACAACUUAGGUGUCAGCACGUGUACGAUUUUUAAAAAAAACAUGUCGAUGAUUAUAAUUUCUUAUCAAAUAAUGAAUCCUAUUCAGAUAUUCGUCUUUAAUAUUAGAAAAUUAUUAAUUUCUGUGGACAUUUGUCAAAAAAUAUUACUUAAAGUGGACUACUUUGCGCAUCAAACUGGUUUCCGCUUCAGUUGUGAGGCACUUCCGUUAUACUUUUGACAACAAUAACAAAACACAAAAUGAAUCAAUAAAGUCACUUAUAAACCGACUGCUACUUAAAUCAGUGUAAGUAAAGUUGUUGUUACAACAUUAUACAUGUUCGUUACGUUAUGAGAUAAAUUUUAUCUUGAACUGCAUAAUCCAUUAAUUACGUUUAGAUGAUAUUGCAUUUACAACUUAUUUGACCCCAUUUUUUUACGUGAAUGACAGCAUUCUCGUGCAACUCGUGCAAACAGAGUUAUGAAAAGUAUGGUGGAGAAUUCAAGGACAAAUUAUAAAUGACAUUAAAGUGAGGAUAACUGUAUAUUCAUCCAGUUUUGAUCAUUGACAUUCCUGCUGUGUAUUAGUAACUUUUGUGAACAAGAUUAGAAUGUUGCUUUUGCACAUAUACACAUUGAUUGGACCUCUCAACCAAAUUUCAUACCUUACUUUAGGGAUUUUUAAGACAGUACAUUUUCAAAAGUUUGUUGAAUGUGUUUUGAUAUUUAAGUGCAUUGUAGUUCAUGAAUACCAAGUUAAAAAUUAAUAAUGGCAACAUUUCUAGGCCUUUAUUGUAAGCCACUAGACUUCUGUAAUGAUAAAUGUUUAAUGUAUUAAGGGGAAUAUACUCUUUUAGUUUUGUAAUGUGGCAUACCUUGACCACCAUAUCUUUUCUU